GGAUGCGAUCAUACCAGCACUAAAGCACCGGAUCCCAUCAGAACUCCGAAGUUAAGCGUGCUUGGGCGAGAGUAGUACUAGGAUGGGUUCCCUCCUGGGAAGUCCUUGUGUUGCAUUCC
This 119-nucleotide ribosomal RNA is filed under the name Triticum aestivum (bread wheat). Lineage: Eukaryota; Viridiplantae; Streptophyta; Magnoliopsida; Poales; Poaceae. RNAcentral also lists the same sequence under 1 other name. The record is from RNAcentral.